UCAGCAAUGGCCGGAGCGCGGUUGAACUUUUGUAAAUUUGGACGACUAGAGGAAGAAGAAGUCGUAACAAGGUUUCCGUAGGUGAACCUGCGGAAGGAUCAUUAGCGUUAAUUGGUCUUGGUGCCAUGCGAAAAACAUGUGGAUUGUGGGCUAUGUGA
This 158-nucleotide ribosomal RNA is filed under the name Polymyxa graminis. RNAcentral describes it as "partial 18S ribosomal RNA". The stretch from base 1 to 104 matches the Rfam family "Eukaryotic small subunit ribosomal RNA", at positions 1727 to 1831 of the family's 1831-position model. Lineage: Eukaryota; Endomyxa; Phytomyxea; Plasmodiophorida; Plasmodiophoridae. The record is from RNAcentral.